RNAcentral lists this ribosomal RNA (397 nucleotides) under uncultured bacterium. Its description in RNAcentral is "partial 16S ribosomal RNA". It matches the Rfam family "Bacterial small subunit ribosomal RNA", at positions 523 to 918 of the family's 1533-position model. The record is from RNAcentral.
AUACGUAGGGGGCGAGCGUUGUCCGGAAUGAUUGGGCGUAAAGGGCGCGUAGGCGGCCCGGUAAGUCUGGAGUGAAAGUCCUGUUUUCAAGGUGGGAAUUGCUUUGGAUACUGCCGCGCUUGAGUGCAGGAGAGGUUAUCGGAAUUCCCGGUGUAGCGGUGAAAUGCGUAGAGAUCGGGAGGAACACCAGUGGCGAAGGCGGGUAACUGGACUGCAACUGACGCUGAGGCGCGAAAGUGUGGGGAGCAAACAGGAUUAGAUACCCUGGUAGUCCACACUGUAAACGAUGAAUGCUAGGUGUAAGAGGUAUCGACCCCUUUUGUGCCGGAGUCAACACAAUAAGCAUUCCGCCUGGGGAGUACGGCCGCAAGGUUGAAACUCAAAUGAAUUGGCGGGG